RNAcentral lists this ribosomal RNA (497 nucleotides) under uncultured bacterium. RNAcentral's name for it is "partial 16S ribosomal RNA". It matches the Rfam family "Bacterial small subunit ribosomal RNA", at positions 28 to 507 of the family's 1533-position model. The record is from RNAcentral.
GAUGAACGCUGGCGGCGUGCCUAAUACAUGCAAGUCGAGCGAACGGACGAGAAGCUUGCUUCUCUGAUGUUAUCGGCGGACGGGUGAGUAACACGUGGAUAACCUACCUAUAGGACUGGGAUAACUUCGGGAAACCGGAGCUAAUACCGGAUAAUAUUUUGAACCGCAUGGUUCAAAAGUGAAAGACGGUCUUGCUGUCACUUAUAGAUGGCUCCGCGGUGCAUUAGCUAGUUGGUAAGGUAACGGCUUACCAAGGCAACGAUGCAUAGCCGACCUGAAAGGGUGAUCGGCCACACUGGAAGUGAGACACGGCCCAGACACCUACGGGAGGCAGCAGUAGGGAAUCUUCCGCAAUGGGGGAAAGCCGGACGGUGGAACGCCGCGUGAGUGAUGAAGGUCUCCGGAUCGUAAAACUCUGUUAUUAGGAAAGAAGAAAUGUGUAAGUAACUGUGCACAUCUUGACGGUACCUAAACAGAAAGCCCCGGCUAACUACGUG